CUGGCGGCGUGCCUAAUACAUGCAAGUAGAACGCUGAAGACUUUAGCUUGCUAAAGUGGAAGAGUUGCGAACGGGUGAGUAACGCGUAGGUAACCUGCCUACUAGCGGGGGAUAACUAUUGGAAACGAUAGCUAAUACCGCAUAACAGCAUUUAACACAUGUUAGAUGCUUGAAAGGAGCAAUUGCUUCACUAGUAGAUGGACCUGCGUUGUAUUAGCUAGUUGGUGAGGUAACGGCUCACCAAGGCGACGAUACAUAGCCGACCUGAGAGGGUGAUCGGCCACACUGGGACUGAGACACGGCCCAGACUCCUACGGGAGGCAGCAGUAGGGAAUCUUCGGCAAUGGGGGCAACCCUGACCGAGCAACGCCGCGUGAGUGAAGAAGGUUUUCGGAUCGUAAAGCUCUGUUGUAAGAGAAGAACGUGUGUGAGAGUGGAAAGUUCACACAGUGACGGUAACUUACCAGAAAGGGACGGCUAACUACGUGCCAGCCGCAGC
RNAcentral lists this ribosomal RNA (499 nucleotides) under uncultured bacterium. RNAcentral's name for it is "bacterial SSU rRNA". It matches the Rfam family "Bacterial small subunit ribosomal RNA", at positions 36 to 518 of the family's 1533-position model. The record is from RNAcentral.